Molecule: ribosomal RNA, 494 nt
Filed under: uncultured bacterium
Lineage: Bacteria
Description: partial 16S ribosomal RNA
Rfam family: Bacterial small subunit ribosomal RNA
Source: RNAcentral
ACGAACGCUGGCGGCGUGCCUAAUACAUGCAAGUAGCACGCUGAAGGAGGAGCUUGCUUCUCUGGAUGAGUUGCGAACGGGUGAGUAACGCGUAGGUAACCUGCCUGGUAGCGGGGGAUAACUAUUGGAAACGAUAGCUAAUACCGCAUAAGAGUAGAUGUCGCAUGACAUUUGCUUAAAAGGUGCAAUUGCAUCACUACCAGAUGGACCUGCGUUGUAUUAGCUAGUUGGUGAGGUAACGGCUCACCAAGGCAACGAUACAUAGCCGACCUGAGAGGGUGAUCGGCCACACUGGGACUGAGACACGGCCCAGACUCCUACGGGAGGCAGCAGUAGGGAAUCUUCGGCAAUGGACGGAAGUCUGACCGAGCAACGCCGCGUGAGUGAAGAAGGUUUUCGGAUCGUAAAGCUCUGUUGUAAGAGAAGAACGAGUGUGAGAGUGGAAAGUUCACACUGUGACGGUAUCUUACCAGAAAGGGACGGCUAACUACGUG